AGUUGACUGUGUUGGAGGCCGAAAUAAGCCUCACUGGUAAAGACUGGCAAAAACAUCCUAUUGUAACUGGUCCAGGGGCUCUGUGUACACUCGGCAUUGAUUACCUCAGGAGGGGACGUUUCAAGGAUCCCAAAGGGUAUCGAGGGGCCUUUGGAAUAGCUGCUGUAGACACAGAGCUACUUCCCUCCACUUACCUUCUCUACCGCUUCUCUACCGCUACAGCACUACUCCAGUGCUUCUCCCCUUUCACAUCAAAAUUCCUCUCUUAGGGUGUACAAAGAGUGUUUCACCACCAUUCCCACUACUCUCUUGUGAGAUGUAUAGAUAGAAUCCUAGUAGAUCAUCCCUCCAAAAGGGGCGGACCUUUCCUGUACUGCUGCUGUUUGCCAUCCCCAUGCUCUCAUAUUAUUUCAGGCCAGGCAAAUGGCAUGCUUCCACCCCAUCAGUCCCACACAGUGAGAUUCUUAGGUCUCCUUGUCCUGUCCUUCCUGUACCAGGAACAAUGAAUGGGCAACAUCUUCCUCACUCACUUCAGCCUGGGGACCCCAUGUGGCUGACACCCCCCCUGAUUCUUGUCACACUUUUUGGUGUGUGUUUGUUUUGACAGUCACAGAAAUGUUAGGUGUUCCUUUCAAGGCAGUAGAUGUUCACAAACAUAAUUUAAAAUGUUUUGUUAAUGAAUUCUUCACAGUGACUCCUUACCUCUCUGACUCUACAGGGAAAAAUCCCUUCUGAACUUGGAAAUAAUGUUAUUGUGAGGGGAAAAAAAGCUGAUGCCUGGUAGCCCCGUCUCAUCUAUUCUCACAGGCUCCUGUUGUGUCACCUGGUUCAAGACUCAGCAGACAGUGAUAUCCCACUGUAGCUCUGUAUUCCCCGAAUUUAAUCUGCAGUUUUUUCACUUUUUUGACCACACCCUGGUCAAGGCCACAGCAGUGCCUGAGCUGCUCCACCAGGUAACAGCACACAGCUGGGAUCUGAGUGCAGCUGCACCUCUUUCACCUGUUUUUAGCCUGACUGAUUCAUUUCACACACAAAAAAAUGUUAUGAAAAUGAGUAUUUUUAACUAUCUCUUUCUCAAGUGAAGUACCAAUAAUAUUUGAAGUUUUAUAGGAGCAAUUGAGAGAGAAUUUUUGUAGCUGUGAAGUAAGGAGUAGAUCCCCCAGGUGACAUCUGCACCUGCUGUGUUGUUCCUGGGGCUGUGGCAUGUUGUACCAACACACCUGCUAUGGAAAACCUCCAUAGGUUUGUUCUGUGUAUUUGAUUAUUUAUACAAUUUCUCACCAGCUUUUGACAAAGGCGUUGUUCCAAUUGUCCUUCCCGACUGUAUCUUGCAUGUGUAUUAAUCCAAGCUUCUCACAGAGAGGAGUCUUGCACCUGCAGAACCUACUCAGCUGUAGUGGAAGGCAUAGGGCUGCAUCUGACUGGACCUGAAAGUGGGGGAAAGUGGAUGUCACAGUGGAAGAGGAGGACCUGAGGAGUGCUAGUCUUUCUCCUUGGAAUUGUUCUUAUUGCCCAUCACCAACAGGAAUGAAUGAGAAUCACUUCUAAUCCAGCUCUUCUUUCUCAUUUCUGUAGCAACAUCAAUCCUGAUUUGGAUUUUCAUCCUGGAGUGGCAAAAUUCAAGUUCUCCUACUUUUCUGACAAAUUUUAUCACAUGGCUGAGAUAGAAUCAGAUGCUCCUGGAAGUGAAGAGCUGAAAGUCUUGGCUUUCUUUUUCUUUAGAGCUAUUUCUGCUAGGAGAGCCCUAGCUAGCCUUAUGUUCAGCAGCCCUAUCUCUCCAUACCUAUUUCAAAGUGUGUAAUUCCUCUUGUAAAGGGAGCAUAGAAACUUUCUAGUCUUGGGUUGUACUUGAAUUUAGAUGUCUUCAUCCUCUAGUAAACAUAACAUAUACUGACUAAUAUCAAAAUACACUGAUGUAUUUUCUUAAGGCAUCCAUAUUUAUUUGUACAUACUGAAAGAAAAGCUUUCAUUCAGCUGCAUCAGUCCUACUGGGCUUUAACCACUGGGACUUUUCUGAGGACAUACUUAUGUUUCUUCAAGAUCAGGACUCAGAUCUUCAGGAAAUGACUGAAAUUGUUACACAGAUGACAUGGGAAAUUUUUUAAGUUAUUAUAUUUUCUGUUACAAAUUCAAGAAUUGUUAUUUCCUUCUACGUACUGUUUUUAUAUGUGACACUGUCCUUACAGUUGGUGGACACUGUUUUGAUGAUUUUGUUGAAGAAGUUAAGUAUGUGUAUCGUCUAAUACUUUGUAUUCUUGUAGAUAAUGAAUUUAUGCCUAUUCAGUUUCCAUUUCUGGAAUCAUACUGACAAAUGUUUGAUUAGAUUUGACAGAGGAAAAUGAAUUAUACUUGACAUAAAGUGUCAAUAUAAUACUGUCAAUAAUUUUAUGUAUAGCUGAGCAGAUAAUUUACCUGUUUUCAACUAUAUCCGUUUAUUUCCUGUUUAUGAUUAUAAAUAAAUUUCAGAUGCUUAUCCUCCUUUCCCCUCCUCUCCCCUUCUUUCUUCUCUCCUCUUCCACUCCCUUCCCCUUCCUUCCCCUUGCCUCUCCUUCCCUUUUCUCGUCUCUCGUUGUCUCUCCUCACCUCUUGCUUUGCUCCACCUUGCAUUGCAUCUCUUUUCUCUGUUCUCACCUUUGCUGACAAACCCUGGAGAGUUUUUGAAAUACAGAAUUUAACAACACCAAAAACUUGUAUUUCCCAAUAUAGUGAGAAAAAAAAUAAAUUUUUAUUAUUGCAUAUUCAGCAUUUAAUGAAAAAAAGGAAGAAACUACAGUUUAACUAAAAAGUGUUCACAGCAUCUAUAAAAAUCCUACUUAAAUGGACAAAAAUGUUUGUAUUGUAUGUGAGUGCUCAUAGGUAUCUUCAGCAGAGUGUUAGAUACCUAUAUUAUGGCAACACACAAAUGUGAAUCAAUUUUAAGGUAGUACAAUAUUAUUAAUAGACAAACACUACUUUUCUAUUUAUGGUUAAAUUAUAGAAUGAGAGAUUAGAUGUAACUGCCCAGUACUUCACCCAUCGAAACAAACUGUUAAUGACAAUGCAUUUGUCAAGAGUUUUCGUCCAGCAUUAAUAAGUAAUGAGUAUGCGGAACGGAAACUUUAAGUACAUUGCAUUUCUCUGAAAUUUCCAAGCUUAAUGCAGUAACAGCACCUCAUAACUUGUUUUAUUGGGACAGAAAAAUUAAAUCAAUUGGUAAAUAGGCAUGACACUAUGUUCUGAUCAGUUUCAAGUUGAGGAACUUUGAAUAAACAACAAACGAUUCUGGAGAAAAGGAGAAAAAUUAACCUUUCUUAAGGACACAGUUCUCACUGUCCGAAAAACUGUCAGUGACUUUAUCUCCAGUAUGGAUGGCUGCAUCUGUUAUGGUUUAGCAGCUUGAAAAAAGAUCCUAAGGGUUGGAUUUCUGGAUGCAAACAUUUAAAAUCUUCCAUUCUUUUUACUCUGACACACAAUAAGUCUUUAGUUAUUUCUUUUCACUUCUUUUUUUUUCUUUUUUUUUUCAAGUUUUUGCUUUUGUUUAGAUUUGUACUUUCUCAGACGUGAUACAAAAAUUUUUAUAUGCAGAAUUGCAACAAAGACAGUGGGAGCUGUCAACUUAACCAAAGGCCUCUAAGUCUUAAGUAUUUGAGUGUGUCUUCAAGCGAUUCCAUACAGUGUGGAAGAAAAUUCCCUGAACCUAAGCAAUAUUUAAAUUACUGCAAAAAAGCAUUAGGAAAAGCAAGGUUGUUCUUUUGGCUUUAUACAGAACAUAAUUAUCCCAGGUAAGAAGACUGGCUGUUCUCUUGGGAUCAAGUUUGAACUUUCACUUUCUUUGGCAAAGGGAGCUCAUGUAUAAUGAACGCUGAUAUCAUUAAAUGAAACACUGAUUCCCUCUUCAGUGUGAUUUCAGAAACGCACUGAAAAAAAAAAGAGAAAAAAAUGAGAAAAAAAAAUGAGAAAAUCAAGAAAUCAACUUCCCUAGGCUUCAAAGGAAGUUGUGAAUGGAAAAGCAAUGGUGCUU
Numida meleagris (helmeted guineafowl) is the source of this 4000-nucleotide long non-coding RNA. RefSeq lists it as uncharacterized. Lineage: Eukaryota; Metazoa; Chordata; Aves; Galliformes; Numididae. The transcript has 2 exons. The record is from RefSeq and is a predicted model, not a curated record.